This 377-nucleotide long non-coding RNA is filed under the name Brassica napus (rape). Its description in RNAcentral is "long non-coding RNA (BNAP_LNC009401)". Lineage: Eukaryota; Viridiplantae; Streptophyta; Magnoliopsida; Brassicales; Brassicaceae. The record is from RNAcentral.
UUUUAUCAAGAUUAUCUAUAAAUAUUUAUAUUUAGUGUGGAUUUGUAAGAGAGCAUCACAAUUUUGAAUUGGUAUUUUAUACAUUAUGUAUGAAUCAUUAUUCUUGUUUAUUUUUCAUGAAUUCUUUCGAUUGAAAUUGUUUGAUGGUAAAAUAUUUAACUUUAUUUCGUUGAGUCAAGUUAAAUUUCCUAAUGAGAUUGUUAAGAUGGUUUAAUAGAGCUAUGUUCUUUUUUAUGGAUUAGUCUUUAAUAUAUUUUCUGUUAAGUCAUCUACUUUUAUUUAUAUUUUAUGGGUUUCUUGUCAAAAAAAAUUAUAAUGCGGUUUUCCGUUUAGACUCUGCAAAUAUGUACUAUUAAAUUUAUGCUUGCAAUUUUUUA